This is a long non-coding RNA of Equus caballus (horse), 14371 nucleotides long. NCBI's taxonomy places the organism in Eukaryota, Metazoa, Chordata, Mammalia, Perissodactyla, Equidae. The record is from Ensembl.
UUCAGAACAACUCGGGUUCCCACCCAGGUCCUGCCACCCCAGAACGGCGUGCACAGGCCACUGCUCUGAGCCUGUCUCUUCACCUGCAAAGUGGGGGUGGUGACAACUCCCUCCUUCUUGCUGAGAAGAUUUAAUGCCAUGAAGUCUGCACCGUGCUCACCUGCUACCACCGAGACAGGUACACAGCAGGCAGUGAAGGAUGGUGACUUGUUGUUUUCCAGACUCUUAUUUUUAGAAAACUUUCUCAUGCAUGCACUGCUUAACAUCAAAACAAUUUCUCAACCAAUGACUCACUGAAUUCCUUAACACCCCCAACCCACUCCACCCCACGAGGAAGCCGGCUGAGACCCUGAAGCCCACAGAGGGAGGAUGGCGUGCCCCCAGAGGCCCACCUGUUGGGGACAGAUCAAAGAUUGGAACCCCAGCUGAAGGGGCCUUUCGUUCAAAGUCUGCUUUAUAGAUUAGCUCUCCAAGUGACAGGGGAAUCUAGAAAAUAGGUCAUCUCUGGGCUUCGAGGUCCAGACUAGACACCAUGCCUGGGUACAGCACGUUGUGAUAAUCAUCAUUAUUUACAGUCAUAAUAAUAAUAGAAGCUCCUAUUGGGUGCCACUUCCUAUGGCAGUUCCCCCGUCUGUAAAAUGCAGAUGAUAGUGGUAAGUUCACAUUGUGGGAUUGUUGGUGAGGAGGGGUUAAUAUUUGUAAAGCCUGUAGAACAGGGCUCGGCAUACAGCAAACAUUACGUCAUUGAGAACAUUGAAAAUACAGAAGUGUCGUCUGCUAAAGGCUUAAGAUCGCCUCACGUUCUCCUCAGGACACGCCCACAGGAGGCUACCAUUACGUCCAUUUUGCAGGUGGGGAAACUGAGAGCUCAGGGAUGCAUGGGGAGGGCAGGCAUGUUACUCUCCCAAGGACGGGGAGGGCGAGCUCUGAGCGCAUGCAAGUGGGGAGUGCAACCCAGGGCCAUCUGCCUCCAGAUCUAUGGGGCUCCCAUCUGUCCCUCCUCCACUUCUGCAGGUCCCCAGGGGGGAGGCAGGAUGCAGCACGCUCUGGGGAAGGUAUUUCCAGAGGGUGACCUGAGCCCUGGGCCAGGCAGAGGGUUAUUAAUAGUGCCCUGGCUGGGGAGGAUGGCUCCGGGGAAGGGAGUGGGAGGGCGGAGCUGAGCCAGCGUGGGGAGGAGAGACUGCCCAGAGAGGCUGGCUGAACUUGGCUGCCAGGGCCCCUCCCAGCCCCCUGGAGCACAGCUGUUCCCUCAGCGGAUUCUCUGGGGCUGGUUCAUCACCUCGGAAUACUCCUGUGACAGGAGCCACUUGCAAAACCCGCCUCCAGCCCCCAGCAGCAAUAAAUAGAAAGCUCCCAGCCCAGGAGAAGCGAGAAGUUUCUAGGCCUGCCUCCCUGGGUUUAUUAAGCUCCUGGCUCCUCUUUAGACCUCAGCGGCUCUGGCUGCCAGCCUGUGUGGCCUGCGAGGACAGAGACUGGCUGAUCCCUGGUGAGGCAGUACGGAUAAGGGCCCUCUGGGAUUCUGCUGGAUCAGCGGGGGGUCGCCUUUGGUGGCUGGAGUGUCUCUGGGGCCCAGGACCCCAGCCUGGUGUGUGCCUCCGUCCCUGGCAGUGGAUGGUUCAGCAUUUUCUGAAGCUGAAGAAUAAGUUUGGAAGACCAGCCCACCCACAUCAGCUUGCUGUGUGACCUUGGGCAGGUGGCUGUGGUUCUCUGAGCCUCCACUUCCCCUCCAGCUCAGCGGCCACCAUGGCUGAUGGUCAGAUGCCCUUCCCCUACACGGGCCGCCUGCGCCGGGACCCCUUCCGAGACUCGCCCCUCUCCUCCCGCCUGCUGGAUGAUGGCUUUGGCAUGGACCCCUUCCACGACAAUUUGACUGCCUCUUGGCAUGACUGGGGCCUGCCUCCAUUCUCCUCGGCCUGGCCGGGGACCCUGAGGUCGGGCAUGGUGCCCCGGGGGCCCACCGCCACGGCCAGGUUUGGGGUACCUGCUGAGGGCAGGACCCCCCCACCGUUCCCUGGGGAGCCCUGGAAAGUGUGUGUCAACGUGCACAGCUUCAAGCCGGAGGAGCUGAUGGUGAAGACCAAGGACGGAUACGUGGAGGUGUCUGGCAAACACGAGGAGAAGCAGCAAGAAGGCGGCAUUGUUUCCAAGAACUUCACAAAGAAAAUCCAGUAAGUGACCUGGCAGUGUGGAUUUCAGGGUGGGAGUGGAGGAGACGGGGGUGCCUGGGACCCGAGAUCUGGGGUCUCUCCCUCCUGGGCAUCUCUCCUGUGAGACAUGGCCCAGGGCAGGGACUUGAACCCUCAUACCUGAAGGGAAGAAAGUGUCACAGCAAACCUGCAACAGGGUCCCAGAAAGGGGGGCCGCAUAGAUUCUCCCGUCUUGCCUGCUCAGUGCCCUGUGAGGUCGGUAUCAACAAUCCCGUUUUGUAGAUGAAGAACCCGAGAAUAAGAGAGGUGAAAUGACUUGUCCACAGUUCCACGAAAAUUGGGGCACUCCCCUACCCACGUGGUAUGGCUGAGGGAGGAUCUCCAUCACGGUCAAGAAAGACCCUCCCCCGAUGCCCCAAAGGCCCAGUAGAAUCUUCCUUGGGGAGGCUGCUCGCCCUAACUCUCCCACAGCCAGCAGAGUGCGCCUUCGCUGGAGCAUCCACAGGAAUUAAACUGGAAGGUGUCCUGCCGGCUCCGCUUACCACCUGGAGGGGUCCUGAGGCUGAGAUUGGGAUGAAGGAAGGGCAGGUUUUGCUGAGGGGAGUGAGAAGGGCUGAGCCUGGGAAAACCACGUGAGCAGCCAGAAGAGCGCCAGGCUGAGCCACUGAAUCAAAGCCACACAGAGGCCCUGAUGGCAAUGCCUGUGGGGAGAAGAGACUCACAGCGGGGUGCUGAUGGCUAGAUGCUUCAGGGACAUCUUCUCCCUAAUCAGCGUCACUCCAUCACGUGCUCUUCUGGCUCCAAAGCCUUUUCCCCAGUCAUCAUUGCAUCCAGUCUUGGCAGCGAAGCUGUUCAGGGGAGGAGAGAUUGUACCCUCCUGCUGUUAUGGGGAAACGAAGUCUUCCAGAGGUGAACGGACAUACUCGAGGUCCUUACAUCUGGAAUUUAGAACAGCCCCAAACGGAUCCUUCAACUCUGAGUUUAAUGCUCCUUCCUCAAGCAAGGAAUGCCCUUUCCUCGUCUGUAUGAGAUGUGUGCUGAUUCUGGCCUUGCAGAGUUACCAAGUGAAAAUGAGAUGAGAUCAUGGCACAAUGAUCCUCACACAGCAGGUCUUCAUACGUGGCCGUUUGUUAUUACUAUUAUUGUUGCGGUUCUUGAAUCUUUGCUCCACUCCUAGCCCUGGCAAAAAAUGUCCUGUGUCUGGAGAGACAGGGCUAGCUGAAUUCUGAGGCUUCUUUCAGCUUUGGGAUUCUGCAGUCCUGUCUCUCCCCCCACGUGCCUGCUCCUGACCCGCCUGGCGCCUCUGGAGUUCUUGGAAGCCUCAGGACACUUCCUGAUAAGGGAAAGGCCAACAGCUUCUCUUACGCUCGCUGGCUCACGCGCCGUCCCCAAGACCCACACCUCUCCCUGGUCCAGCAGCCAGAUCAAACAUCGCUGAGAGCAGAGAGAAAGGGAAAAGGGAGGAGGAGGGAGCCAAUGUUUCUUUCAAGAGACUCAUAGAAGGUCUCAGGUUGGAGUCACAGGCAGGGCAAAGCUGUGGAGGCGACUGAGCUGAAAAAGAAGUCAGCGAAUUAAUCAUCUUAAGAAGACGGCCAUUUUGUGGAUUUCGCUGUCUCUGAGACCUCUGGGAAAACAGCUUGCUGGGAGUUGCUUGACCAGAUAGAAAUGCCUACAGCUGCUCAAGGUAGGGCUGCAGUUGAGCUCAAUAUGGGGCCCUCGCUACAAUAUGGGACUCGCCAUUGCCCUGAGCUCCCCAGGUGCCCUCCCUAGUCGACCUAGCCAUCCUGACCCUGUCCCCAGGACCCUCCAAACCGCCCCAUGUUCCAGCUAUUAAAGGGUCCCCAGAACCCUCCUCCAUAACUAGAUCAGGUAUCUAUCCCUUCUGGCUGGCCAAUGUCCAGUUGUGCCAGUUGCUAAAUAUUUUGAAUUUCACCCCUGGGUGUAGGGAGUCCGGGCUCCAUGAUAGAGAGAGUGGGUAACUCAGAGCAAUUUGCUGAACUGCUCUGAGCUUCUGUUCCCGCAUUCCCUCACAGAUGGAUCUGUGAUGGGGAAUGAGAGGAUGUGUGUAAAGCGUUUAGCACGGGGUACAGACUCAGCGCUCAGUCCAUGGGAACUAAUAUUAUUAAAAGAUUGCAAGGCUGGGAUCACACAAGAGCAGGUGGGACCUCCUGGGCCCUCCUGGCUCUGCCCAGACUUCAGACACCGAGGAGCAGGACGGGAGUUUGGGAUGGCCCUGGCCCAAUCUUAGGAGGCCUCAUCGCCUCUCCCAGGAAAAGCUCAGGUCAUCAGAGGACAGGGAAGCUCCUUCAACCAGCUGAGAUCCUUGGAGAUUUCCAGCCAGGCAGGAUGCUACAGCUGUUGGCCUUAGCCCAACACACCCAUCCCCGUGUGAAAGGCCCCAUCUUGCCUGGAUGAGGGGACGGGGAGAGGUCUUGGAAUUUGCCUAUCAGACUGGGGGCAGGGCGAGGACUGCAGAUGAGAUCUUUCCCACAUCCAAGCUGGAUGAGAGGACAGGAAGCAGGGGACACAGGAAGUCAUCCAUGGAGGAUGCUCAGAGCCAAAGCAAACUUCAGUCUCUUUGCUCCACAUUUUCCCACGUAUCUGUUCUGCCUCUUAUCGUUAUCUACGAUGUGUCAAGAGCCAUGUGGAGAGGUUUGUAGGUUUAAUCGUAUUUCAUCUUUAGAGGAAUCCUAUGGAGUGGGUAUGAUUACGCCCAUCUAGUGGGUGAGGAAACUGAAGCUCAGUGGGAUGGUGGGACUCAACUAAGGUCACACAGGAAGGAGCAGAUCUGAGAUUGGAGCACAGGUGUCCCUAACUUGAACUUCCCCUACUCGGUUAGGGCAGACUGAAGGACAGUUAUUGGCAUACGUCUUCACUAUUUUUUGCCACAUAUGCUAAUGUUCCCAUACUAUUAUUUGCUUAUGCCUUGUUUUUUUCCGAUCAAUUCACUUUUGAUACAGUGAAAUUCUCAUCGCUAACAUGUUCACCGAAGAAGGCAAUCAUAACAAAAUCCAAUGAAAGCAAAAUGUGGUGAAAUAACUAGAUGAUGUUGCCUGCCGAAGGGUCUAAGACUUACAUCUGCUGUCUCUUUGUUAAAAAGAGAAAAUAGCAAGAGACAGAGGCUGCAGGUGCUCAAGGCUUGUUAACCCUUCGCUGAGACCUUUGUUUAGAUGUAAACAGAAGGACUGAAAGAGAAUUGGGGAGGAAUAACUUUCCCACCACGUCGAUUCAACAUACAGGUUACCUGGUGAGGGACCUUGAACAAGUCUAUUCCCAACUCCGGGCCUCAGUUUCCCCAUGUGUAAUAUGAGAGCAUUGUCCUGGACAAUCGAGAAGAUCCUUUUGGGCUCUGAUGUCCUAUGGUUCAAUGAUGGCACAGCUUGUGCUAAAAUAUUCCCAGCUGUCAAGGUGCCCACUUGGCGAGCCAAUGCCUGCAAUGACAAUGCAGAAGCUGACACUUAUUGAGCGCUUACUGUGUGCCAGGCACCAUUCUAAGUCCUUUUCUUUCAUUAUCUCACAUAAUUCUCACACCACCCUAAGAGGUAGAUGCUAUUAUUACCUCUUUUCUUACAAGGAAAUAGAUUCAGAGAGGUGAAAUCACUAGCCCAAGGUCACACAGUCGGGAAGAGCCGGAAUCUGGAUCGAGGUCUCCCUGCCUGCCAAGUCCAGGCUGUGGACCAUGCCUACCCUGUCACAUUGUACCUGGUCCCCACUGGGUUGGCGUGCGAAUGGUUCAACAGAGUCAGCCCAUCCCCCAGCAGAGGGAGGGAGGUCCAAAAUCUUGCCCUUGUCUCUGCUCCAGGAGCUUGACUUGGCAGGUGUUCAAAUUCUCUCUUUCUUCCGUCCUUGCCCGCAGCCCCCUUGUUAUUCUCUGUGGCUCCAAUUUGGCAGGAGUCCCUUGGGUAGAUGGGGCUCAUGCGCCUACGAGCACAGGAGCAAAAGCCUCCCAGCCCCUCCAGGAAGGGUCCUGCCCAUGACGAGGAACGGGCUGACCUCAUUUCUUGCUUCUUUCAUCAAGACCCCUGCAUUUACAACAGGCAGAGCCAGCCUGGCCAGGAAAGAUCGUGGUGAUAGAACCGCCUGGCUUCCCCUCAUGGUCCUGUGUUCAACAGUCUGGUGCCGGGGGAGGCCGCAGAGCAUCACAAUCAGCUGAGUUUGGAGACCCCGAGUCCAAUUCCACUCCCAUCUGCCGCUUACCAGCUGGGGGGCCUUGGGCGAAUCAGUUCACUUCUCUGACCUCAAUUUCCUCAUCUGUAAAUUGGGGAUAGGCAUAGCACUUGCCUGGUGGGGUUACUGUUAACAACUGUACGAGAGGAUUCAGGCGAAGUCCCUGGUACAUAGAAAGUUCUCAGCAGGUCAUAGUUUUCAUAAUUUUUUAUUGAUAAUGGGGCCAUUAGCAUGCUCUCACAAUUCCAAUAAUUUGUUGCAGAAACCAUGUCCCAGAUAGUCUCGUUUGCUCAAAACAAUCCAAAAGUCAUAAAAAUAGCUUCAGAACCGGAACCAGAUUUGGGUUCAGAAGUCCUGUCUUUGGUGCCCUCUCUCCCACUGAGUCUGUCGUUGGAUUCCCCAAGGCUCUGUCAGAUGUCCUAUGCAAUGGGCAUAUUAAUUUCUACCUACUAACCAUUCUAGGGUCUCUAUAAAGCUCUAACCAGGUAAUGCCUAUAAAUGUAUUUUGGGAACAAAACAAUUAUGACCUGCUAAGACCUACUUACGAUGUGGCCCAAAUCGAGGGUCAUUCUAAGCAUCGUAGAGUAUGCUGCCAUCUGACGUCUAGCCAUGUGGCCAGCCUGACCCCCUUUAUCUGCCAAGUUGUCUAUUCCACCAUUAACUCUACCAGCAAUGCUUUUUGUAGCAAAGCCCUCCCAGCAGGCACAUGGUCAAUGAAAAUGUGUCACCUGUUGUGAGUGACACCUGAUUUGUGCUCUAUAAAGGAGUGGUCGUGGCGGUCAUUUCCGCCAGCAGCUGGCCAGUUGUGGGUGCUAAAGUGGAGACCUCAACCAUUGACCAAAUAUCUGGACCACAGCUCCCUUUUAAGUUACCAUUGGAGCAGCGUUUUACCAUUCGUAAAGCGUGUUCAGAGUCUUUUUCUCACUCUGAGCUUCAAAUACUGUGCAAAUUUAAUGUUAUGCUCACCAUUUUGCAGAUGAGGAAACAAGCUCAGAGCAACUGAGUGGCCUUCCUAAGAUCACACAGCUAGAAAGGGGCAGGGCCAGAAUUCAAACCCAGCAUUGUUUGCCCCGAAAGAUGAAGCUCUUCUCAACAACAUUUUCUUUCGAAUGAAUAAAAGAAUGUUUAAGCUCUAUUAAAAUAAUAAAUGAAUAAAAUCUUGUGCUUCCUCUAGGCUUCCUGCAGAGGUGGAUCCUGUGACAGUAUUUGCCUCGCUUUCCCCAGAGGGCCUGCUGAUCAUCGAAGCUCCCCAGGUCCCCCCUUACUCACCAUUUGGAGAAAGCAGUUUCAACAACGAGCUUCCCCAAGACAGCCAGGAAGUCACCUGUACCUGAGACCCCAGUCAUGGCCCAUCCUUGUUCCCUCCCCAACCCCAGGGCUUCUCUGAUUCCAGGGUACAUUACUGUAGCUGAACUCAUAGAUUUAGCGCAACUAAGAUGUUGGGGGUGGGAGUGGAUGGACCACAGAGUCCCUGGAUAGUGUAGUAGUAGGUUUUUCCACAAGAGGGCGCAAUUGGCGAGUCAUGCUCAGUUGCGCAAAAUGCUGGGAGUUUUUUUUUUUUUUCUUUACCUUUUCUGUCUUGAUGAAAAUGUUGCACAUUCUAAAGUUGCCAAACCAAUAUAAUGGGACAUAACAUUUCACAUUGCAUCUUACCUUGCAGCUGAUGCAAGGGUUGCUUUUCUCUGGGGACCUCCCCAUCACCCAGAUUCCUAUUCUGGGCUCUCAAUUUCCCUGCCUGCCCUGUGGUUUGGGUGAAGGAGCCCAUUAGCUCACUCCAUUGUGUUUCUGCAGCCCUGGCCUAAGAAGGGUUAUAGAGAGGUCUUACAUCCCCAUAUGGGAUUUAUCCAACAGCCACAUGAAAAUAAACAGUGCCUUCUGCCCUCCACCCAGGCAUUUACAGCAUGUUCCCAAGCUGGCACUCCCCGGGGACUCUGGAAGCCCCUCAGUUUAUUCUCUGGCUAAAGCCCCCCCUUUCUUGUGUCUCCUAUGUCCAAGUUGGGACUUUUAGAGAGGGCUGUCUCCAGACAGCUCCAGCUGGAACCAAGCAAAGGCCAGACAGCCUGGCAGGCAGGCUAGUGGUAUUGUCUAUAUGGGUGGGACGUGUGUGUCAUUGUUAUUUGAAUUGUGCUGUUGUUUAGGGGAAAAUAACAGUAAAUGAUAAUAAUAAUAAAGGAGCUGAUGUUCUUAGCCUGGUGUGCUUCUUUUGAUGAGGGGCUAAAUGCUAUACCACUUAGAUAUGCAAUGUCAGUUAGGAAUGCUUGUGGCUACAAAUUAUAAUGCCCAAUGAGUAGUGGCUUAAAUGACACAAACAUCUAACUUUAUAAGAAGUUCAGGUAUGAGUGAUUUCAGAGUUACUUUUUCAGAAGGUACGUCACCAAGAAUCCAGAGUAUUUCCAUCUUUUUCCUCUGCCAUCUCUAAAAAGUCCACUAGGUCUAUCCUCGCAUUUGUAAGAUGGCUGCAGCAGCCCCAGGCAUCUCAUCCUCGGGUGACAAGGUACAGGAAGAGAAGGCAAGGAUAAAAAAAAAAGCCUUCUCAUCUGGCCUCCUCUUUUAUCAGCACUCAAGAUCUUUUCCAGAAGCUCUCUCUCAGCAGAUUUCUUCUUUUAUUUCAUUGACCCAACUUGGGUCACACGCCUAGCCUGAAGCCAGUCCCUGGCAAAGUGAAAGUGAUGGCCAUAAUGGGCUUAGAUCCAGAUUGAUUUGUCCUCUGAGGCCAGGAACAUUGCUGUGUGAAAAAGCAAGGUUCUGUUAAGAAGGACAGGGGUGUAGCAGCUGUGAGCGCCAUCAACAGUGUAACGGCGGCUGCAGGCUGACGCUGCCAGGAGCGCAGAACCUGGAACACAGGGUGGCAGGGAGCAAGGCUGCUGGCAUAGUGCACCAGUUGGGACUGUUUCUGGGGUAAGGGUGAAGAAACUCAACUCAAACUGAUGGACGCGAGAAGGGGUAUUUAUUGGUAUACAUAGCUGAGAAGUCCAGGAUAAAACCCGCUUUCAGGGCUCCAGUGAUGUCAACAGAACUCAGUUUCUCUCUCUCUCUUGGUCCUGCAGAGUCGGCUUCACUCCCAGUCUCCCUGUUGCCUCCCGGCCCUCCCCGUCCCCAGCCCUCCAUGCCCCCGUGUCCUCCCUCUGUGGUCGUGAGACGGCUACAGUCACUAUUCCCUCUCACAUUCCACUCCCCAGGGAGAAAAGCCAUCUUUUCCUAUAGUUUCUGCCCUAUCCCUGAGAGUCAUUCUUAUUGGAUGGGCUUCCGUCACAUGACCAUCCUGAGCUAAGCAGGGACCACGAAAUCAGAGCUUUGAUUGGCCAGGCCUGGGUCACAUGCUCUAUCCCUGGAGCCAAUCCCAAUGAAUCCCCACAACACCCGGAAGUAGAUGUUCGUUUUAUAAGGAAGAAGCUGAAGCUAAGUGGUUUGGGUAGGUCACGUGGUGACAGCAGAACUCAAACCCGGAUGUUUGCUUUUGGAAGGGUUAAUGAGGAGCUGCUGGGCUGGUUUUCAAGAGCACCUCCAAACUCCAGAUGACCGGAGAAAUCACUAUUUCCUGAGCACCUACUCGGUCCAUCCUGUGCUAGGUGCCAAGGAUACAGAGACCAAUGAACCACAAUUCCUGCCCCAAGGAGCUCACAGACCAGUGACAGAGACAGGCAGAUAAAAGAAUGCCUGGCUCCCUUUAAAUCCUCACUGUGUGACAGACACCAUGCUAAGUGCUUUAUUAUAGUAGAUUUACUGACACUACAAUCCUAUGAGAUAGGUCCAGCUGUUACCUCCGUUUUACAGAUAGGGAAACUGAGGCAUGGAAAGGUUACGUGCACUGCCCCCAAAUCACACAUCUGGUAAGCCCCAGGCCCAGGACCUUCACUAGUACUCUUACCCUGUUCUGCCCUUCUCCCAACAAAAUAAAAUGUAAGCGUGCCCUAAGUGAGUCGUCCAGCUUGUAGGAAGAGCAGAGAGGUGAUAUUUCAAGUUGGGGCUUUGCAGGGAGGGUGGGAGUCAGAGGUGGCUUACAGAGUCACUCCUGUCGGACUUGAAGAUGGGCAGGUUGUAGGAUUUGAGCAAGCAGGGGUGGGGAUGGGGAGGUGCCUCACAGGCUGAAGAAAACACCUGAGCCAAGGAGAAAGGUAUGUUCCUUUGAAAAUGCUUUGAUGGUUCCCCAUUGUUCAAAGGAUCAAGUCCAAGCUUCUCUGCAAGACUUAGAAGGCGUUAUGGGAUCCAUCUGGUUACCUCUCUGCACCCCAGCCCCAAGCCCCUCCCCUCCCCUCCAGCCCCACCUAACUUCCGUCUCUUCUUCCAGCCAGCUCUCUCUUGCUACCAGAACCUUGAAUACACUGCUCUCUCUCUCCAAGGUUGACUGACCCACCCUCUGCACGGGCUAAUUUUUUUCUCCCAGUGGCUUAAGCAACAAGUUUCUUUCUUUCUUUCUUCUUUCUUAAAAUUAUUUUAUUGAGGUUGUGUUGGCUUAUAACAUUGUGUGAAUUUCAGGUGUACCUUAUUAUAUUUUGGCUUCUGUGUAGACUGAAUCAUGUUCACCACCAAAAAUCCAGUUUCUGUCUGUCAUACAUAUGUGCCCCUUUACCCCUUUCACCCUCCCUCCCACCCCUUCCUCUCUGAUAACCAUCAAUCUAUUCUCCUUAUCUAUGUGUUUGUUUACCUUCCACAUAUGAGUGAAAUCAUACAGUAUUUGUCUUUUUCCAUCUGAGUUAUUUCACUUAGCAUAAUACCCUCAAGGUCCAUCCAUGUUGUUGCAAAUGGCAUGAUUUUGUCUAUUUUAUGGCUGAGUAGUAUUCCAUUGUGUAUAUAUACCACAUCUUUUUUUCUCCAUUCAUUCGUUGAUGGGCACUUGGGUUGCUUCCAUGUCUAGGCUAUUGUGAAUAAUGCUGCAAUGAACAUAGGGGUGCGUAUAUCUUUUUGAAUUAUUGGUUUCAUAUUCUUUGGAUAAAUACCCAGUAGUGGAAUAGCUGGAUCAUAUGGUAUUUCUAUUUUGAAUUUUUUGUGAAAUCUCCAUGGUGUUUUCCAUAAUAGCUACACCAGUUUGCAUUGCCACCAGCAGUAUAGGAGGGCUCCCUCUUCUCUACAUCCUCGCCAACAUUUAUUUCUUAUCUUGUUAAUUAUAGUCUUCACUGGCUAAUUCUUUAGACUGCCCCUGGCCAGAGCCACUUCUUGCUUACCCCUGUCCCAACAAACACACCAUAUAACAGCUUUGGUGUUUGUGUAGCAGAAUAAAUAGUAAUAGCAAUCAUAAAAACCCAAACUACCCUAGCUGCUCUGCUUUCAAGGACAGGAUGGGGAAUCAUUCAAAUAAAGGAGAAAAUCCCUACUCAUUGGAUAUUUGUUCAACAAAUAUUUACCGGGCACUGACCAUGUUCAAGGCACUGUGCUGGGUGGCAGGUUACCAUUUCUCUCCACUUUGAGAGCCUGGAGAGAAAAGGAGGGAAGCGAGGCUAUUUCCAUGUUCUCCAGUUCUGGCUGAUGAAUGGUGAGACCCCGAGCGGGUAGAGUGGAAAGCUCACCUAUGAGGUGGUACCCAGGCCAAGGGCAUGAAGGACCACACAGAUUUGCCCAAGCAAGUGAGCAGGGUCUCUCAAGCAAGGGGGCCUGGUAAUGUGGUGGGGGCCUGGACUAUAGCGAGAGGUGACCAGUGAGGGAUGCCAGGUGGUGGCUGGACCUGGAACCUAAAAAUGCUGCACAAUAUUCAGUUUUUAAUUCUUUGCCUUGUGAUAUAAAAUGUGCCAAUCCAACCUUUAGGGAAGUCUUACAUACCCACAGAUGCUUUGUGUGGGUGGUCUUGGGGGCGGUGGUGGAUCAAGGUUGGGGACAAGCCAGAGCGAAGUGAAUGGUGAGGAGAAUUCUCCACAGGCAGCACCUGAAGUGAGAAGGGACUAUGGGAAUGGACCUCCUGAAACAUCGCUGAUCUCUUGGGCAGGGCACUGGAGAGGUGUGACUCAGUUUUAUUGAAAUAUCUCAAGAGCACGGCUUCACCAGAUACCUAGACUGUCCUCCUGGUGGACUGUAGGUCUCCUGAAAGCAGAGACCGCAUCCUGUUGGUUUCCGCUGUGUCUCUAAAUCCUAACACAGUGCCUGCUGCAUAGGAGGUAUUUCAUAUUCGCCAGAUGCAUGGGUGAAUGCCUUGAAUAAAUAAAAUCCAAACUCUUUUCCACCUCCUUCCAAGUCCUGCAUGAUCUGGCCCCUGUCACCUCCCAAAUUCAUGUCUCACAGCUCCCUCUCAUGUUCACUACACACAGGCCUCCUUCUGUCGCUCAAACACACUGUGCCCAUGCUCACCCCAGGGCCUUUGCACAUUCCAUUCCUUUGGUCAUGAACACUCUGCCCCAGCUCAUUGCCUGGCUGCCUCCUUCUUAUCACAAUUUCCCCAGAUGUCCCCUCCAACUCCACCUUUCCAGAGAGGCCUUACAAUAGCUGCCAUCCAAUCACUGACUAUUACAUACAUCACUGCUUUAUUUCCUCCAAAGCGAUUGCGUUUGCUUGGUUGCAAACACACCUCCACAUUAAAAUCUAAGCUGCCCUCCACACACCACAUACUUAGACACACCCUAGAAUGUCAACUCCGAAAGAGAAGGGAUGCUUUUGUGCCUUGUCCACUACUGCAUCUUUAAAGCUAAGUGCAAUAAGAAUGCAUUGAAUGAUUGGAUGAAUGAAUGAACGGUGAGUGGGGGUCACCCUGGGGAAUUAGGCCCUUUGGCAUUUGCAUGAUCUUAAGCCCCAGAGACCCGGCUCAUUUCAGUCCUGAGCAUUUCCAGCUUAAAGAUGCAAGACUUGUCAUCAGAAUAGAUGACUCGGCCCCUCCCUAGAGAUCUCAGAAUGACAACAGAAUAUUGUUCCUGAGCCUUCGCUUGGAUGAUGAUGCUGGGACAAGAGAUUCCCAGAACCUGCUUCCCCACCCCACUCCCUUGACCCAGCCCCCCAGAAAGUCUGAUCCCCAGCCCCCCUCCACCCACUUCCAACAGCCUGCCGGCCAGCGGCUGCUGAUGGUGAUCCACAGAGAUGACUUGAUAUGACCUUGAGGGAAGAAACAAAUUAAUGUGUCUUGAAAUAAAUUCCAGGAACCAGUGGCUGGCUUCUCCACACCUUCCUCUUGGCGCCUCAUGCGUCAUGCAUCAUAAUGUGAAAAUCAAUACUGUCUCCUAAAUGAGCCAACACCUGGAGCGGGCAGGGGGUGGGGCUGCUCAGAGAUCCCCUCCCACCCUAUGUCCUGGGCCUGGGAGUUGUUGGCAGGAGCGGGAGACUCUGGGCCUGCUGUGGGCUCUACUCUCUGGUGGCUGAGGGCUGGCUGAGUGCCCCUGUCUGCUGCGAGGUCAACCCACCUGACCCCCAGCUGCAAGGCUGUCCAGGGACAAGCAGAUGUGGGCUCCCUAGUGGCUCCUGAGGGAAAGGACAGGGCAGCCACAUGGAAGGGCAUUGCCGUGGCCAUUGUCCAAGGAUAACUGAGAUAUGGGGAGGGGAGGAGACUCCAAGCCCAGAUCCCCACUCCAGAAGUUCAGUGUAUAUUUGUCAGUGCAUUUCUUUGGAUUGGGCACCUAUUCAACUGCGUGUCCAGGUACGACAGUGCCAGGUGUCUAAAUGUUGAAAUACUUCAGUGCCCCUGGAUAAAUUGCACUACAGAGACUCUGAGGUGCCCCCAGUGUCCUAGCCCAUGUUAAGCAUGUCUUUAUUCUGAUGCUUUGACCACUUGGGGCCUUGCUAACCCUGGAGGGACUGCUCCUCCCAAGCUUGGCUAAUUCCUAGAGAUAGCAAAGGACUCACCUGUGAGCACACCUUUCAUAUGAAAAGCCACCCAUCCAGAACCCACAGCCCGACCACCUCCUUUAUCAACGCUUAUACUCGGAGACACUAUCCACUUGCCCUAAUCAUCCAAGGACGGGUACCAGAAACCUCGAGACAGCCCCUGGGCCACAGAGCCAGCUGAAACUAUGCAAACUAGCCUGUCCUAAGCCUGCUCACCCAGCCCCACCUGUUCCUUCCUGCAGAAACCACAAUAAAGGCUCUCACCCACGUUUUUUCCACCCCACCCCACCCUACCCGAGUUCCCUCUGCCUCCAACCGAC